Prionailurus viverrinus (fishing cat) is the source of this 1021-nucleotide long non-coding RNA. RefSeq lists it as uncharacterized. NCBI's taxonomy places the organism in Eukaryota, Metazoa, Chordata, Mammalia, Carnivora, Felidae. The transcript is spliced from 3 exons. The record is from RefSeq and is a predicted model, not a curated record.
UAAUGUGCUCCCAAGAUCCUCUAUAUAGGGCAAGAACACCUACACUCAGCUAUUGACUAUUGGCUCAUAAUCUCCCCUUUGCAGGAGCACUGCCCUUACCUGGAAUGAAACUGCCUCCCAGAGGACUUUACACCACCACAGCCAGACCCCAUUGCCACACAGACUCUGGGAUACAAAGACCACUCCCUCACUCCUACUGCCUCCUGCUGGAACCCUAGGUCUCCUCAUGAGAGUAUUUCUUUAUCACUUCCAAAAGGGUGACCCAUCUAAGGCUCUGAUUGGUGAAAUCCUGACCUACAAUGGUGCCAAAAUGAUUCUUGAAAGCCAACUGUAAGAAUGGAGUGGUGAAGGUGACUCACUUGUUAGCAAGAUGGCAAUAAAUAUCCCAGUAAGAUCUGGAGGCCAGAAGUCUGAAAUUGAGGCGUUGGCAAAAUUAUGCUCUCUCCAAGGACUCUCGAGGAGGAUCCUUCCUUGCCCCUUCCAGAUAGAAUUGGCAAACUGAUUGGAUGGCCCAAGAAAGCCUAUUUUCAAGGGAUUAAGGAGCAUCUCAUGGAGGAAUUUGUCCUAAGGGAUGAAGGAGCCAGGGAUGAAGAUCGUAACUUUAUAACACAAUCGAAGUCCUCAGACAAAGUCCUCAGAAGCAUGUUGGCUGCUAUUAGAGUUCAUGUAAGUUAUUUUGGACCUAUAUCUGAAUCCCGAGGAGGAAAGGAAAUGUAAAUAAAAACUUAAAAGUAGGUUUUACUUGGUUCUGAAAUGCAUCAGGGGCCCUCUAAAGACUACAAACCAAAGGGAAUCAUAUUCUUCUCAACACCACUUAUCUCUCUCCUGUCCUUGCUCUGAGAUGAGAUGGACCAACAGGAAGCUUUAGCACUCUAAAGGAGAGAUACGCUGCUGAACAGCUGGACUGAUGAUAGCACUCAUGGAUGAGCACCCACGCCCCUGGAAACUCCAUUAGGGAGAAAACAGGAAUGUGCUUGGUGCCUUGCACGAUGUUUGGAGACACUGGAACAUUCCAUCUAAG